UAUAGCUCAGUGGCAGAGUAUGUGCCUGGCAAGCACAAGGUCCUGAGUGCAAUCCCAGGUA
This 61-nucleotide transfer RNA is filed under the name Cavia porcellus (domestic guinea pig). It matches the Rfam family "tRNA", at positions 6 to 65 of the family's 71-position model. From Rfam's summary of the family: Transfer RNA (tRNA) molecules are approximately 80 nucleotides in length. Their secondary structure includes four short double-helical elements and three loops (D, anti-codon, and T loops). Lineage: Eukaryota; Metazoa; Chordata; Mammalia; Rodentia; Caviidae. The record is from Rfam by way of RNAcentral.